GCAGGCCGGCUGCUGCCUGUCCUUCCACUCCAGUCCAUUCAGUCCGGGCACCAGGCUUCCACCCGCACAUGCGGGCCACUUUGACUCAGGGACAGCAGUUUGUUGCUGAGGCUCUUGUAUGUGGAUAAGAGCUCGUUUUCGUCAACUAUUUACAUUUAUUUGAGUCUGACUUCUGUGCUGGCCUUUCUGCUUUGGCCAGAAACAGAAA
This 208-nucleotide long non-coding RNA is filed under the name Bos taurus (domestic cattle). RNAcentral's name for it is "long non-coding RNA NONBTAT017723". The record is from RNAcentral. Lineage: Eukaryota; Metazoa; Chordata; Mammalia; Artiodactyla; Bovidae.